UCAAAACGCGCCCCAGAGAACGUAAUGCCUGGAAUGCCCUCUCAGGCGAGUUUGGACGGGGCUACCUUCUUCGAUAGCAACGACGGAACUUGUAAAAGGCCUGCUUCUCGCAAAUACACAACCAGUCUGCCGGUGAAAGCUUUUACAGCUCCGAUACAAUGAUAAAGAAGAAGAAGAAGACUCAAAAAUUAAGAUUUGGUGCUGCGUUAUCAAGAUCUUCGCUGAUUCUGCCUCAUCAACAGAGAUCUUCGCUCGCUGGUUCCGCCUUCUUCCUUAAUGAGAGAAUAACAAAACUUUGCUGCUGUUAGAAGGUCAAGCCUUGAGGGUCGUAUGGUGUAAGAAAUGAGCAAAGGCCUCCUGAUCAAACAGGACCUUCCAUUCUUGGGAGCAAUAGUAUUAAUACGUUGUGGGAUGGUCAUGGAGGAGGAGGAAGAAGACCGAGCGCUGCAGUAAUCGUGUCAAGGCUGCACCUGAACGAGCCAGGACGGGCAACUAUGAGUUGAUGCACCAUUUCUCCUCCUUGUUGCAGAAGCAGAGGGCGUGAUGGGCUCGUGCUGGCCUCUGCCUCCUUUCAUCUUCGUCUCCCUCACUCUCUCUCUCAAUUGCUAAGUGCUCUUAAUUGGACUUUGAUAAUGCAGAAUUGACCAAUUUUUUUUC
This is a long non-coding RNA of Nymphaea colorata (pocket water lily), 657 nucleotides long. RefSeq lists it as uncharacterized. The record is from RefSeq and is a predicted model, not a curated record. The transcript has 2 exons. NCBI's taxonomy places the organism in Eukaryota, Viridiplantae, Streptophyta, Magnoliopsida, Nymphaeales, Nymphaeaceae.